GACGAACGCUGGCGGCGUGCUUAACACAUGCAAGUCGAACGGAAAGGCCCUGCUUUUGUGGGGUGCUCGAGUGGCGAACGGGUGAGUAACACGUGAGUAACCUGCCCUUGACUUUGGGAUAACUUCAGGAAACUGGGGCUAAUACCGGAUAGGAGCUCCUGCUGCAUGGUGGGGGUUGGAAAGUUUCGGCGGUUGUGGAUGGACUCGGGGCUUAUCAGCUUGUUGGUGGGGUAGUGGCUUACCAAGGCUUUGACGGGUAGCCGGCCUGAGAGGGUGACCGGCCACAUUGGGACUGAGAGACGGCCCAGACUCCUACGGGAGGCAGCAGUGGGGAAUAUUGCACAGUGGGCGGAAGCCUGAUGCAGCGACGCCGCGUGCGGGAUGACGGCCUUCGGGUUGUAAACCGCUUUCGCCUGUGACGAAGCGUGAGUGACGGUAAUGGGUAAAGAAGCACCGGCUAACUACGUG
RNAcentral lists this ribosomal RNA (468 nucleotides) under uncultured bacterium. RNAcentral describes it as "partial 16S ribosomal RNA". It matches the Rfam family "Bacterial small subunit ribosomal RNA", at positions 28 to 507 of the family's 1533-position model. The record is from RNAcentral.